GUGACAGAAGAGAGUGAGCACACGGCCGGGCGUGACGGCACCGGUCAAGGAUGUGCCGUCGCGGCCGCGUGCUCACUGCUCUUUCUGUCAU
This 91-nucleotide microRNA precursor is filed under the name Sorghum bicolor (sorghum). RNAcentral describes it as "mir-156 microRNA precursor family". It matches the Rfam family "mir-156 microRNA precursor family". From Rfam's summary of the family: This family represents the plant microRNA (miRNA) precursor mir-156. Animal miRNAs are transcribed as ~70nt precursors and subsequently processed by the Dicer enzyme to give a ~22nt product. Lineage: Eukaryota; Viridiplantae; Streptophyta; Magnoliopsida; Poales; Poaceae. The record is from Rfam by way of RNAcentral.